AGCUCCAAAAGUGUAUAUUUAAGUUGCUGCGGUUAAAAAGCUCGUAGUUGGAUUUUGGGCGCAGGCGGCCGGUCCGUCGCAAGGCGUGCACUGGCCGACCUGGCCUUACCUUCGGUUCCCCGCCGGUGCUCUUGACUGAGUGUCGGCGGCGGCCGGAACGUUUACUUUGAAAAAAUUAGAGUGUUCAAAGCAGGCGGCUCGCCUGAAUAAUGGUGCAUGGAAUAAUGGAAUAGGACCUCGGUUCUAUUUUGUUGGUUUUCGGAGCGCGAGGUAAUGAUUAAGAGGGACAGACGGGGGCAUUCGUACUGUGCCGCUAGAGGUGAAAUUCUUGGAUCGGCGCAAGACGAACGACUGCGAAAGCAUUUGCCAAGAAUGUUUUCUUUAAUCAAGAACGAAAGUA
RNAcentral lists this ribosomal RNA (400 nucleotides) under phytoplankton environmental sample. RNAcentral's name for it is "partial small subunit ribosomal RNA". It matches the Rfam family "Eukaryotic small subunit ribosomal RNA", at positions 587 to 991 of the family's 1831-position model. The record is from RNAcentral.